AUGCGCCAUACGUGCACUCGGGUUCCUCCGCGCCGUUCACACCCACCUGACGAUCGCUCGCUACGUUCUGUUAGCC
Molecule: small RNA, 76 nt
Filed under: Xanthomonas melonis
Lineage: Bacteria; Pseudomonadati; Pseudomonadota; Gammaproteobacteria; Lysobacterales; Lysobacteraceae
Description: sX9 sRNA
Rfam family: Xanthomonas sRNA sX9
Source: RNAcentral